Molecule: ribosomal RNA, 253 nt
Filed under: uncultured bacterium
Lineage: Bacteria
Description: partial 16S ribosomal RNA
Rfam family: Bacterial small subunit ribosomal RNA
Source: RNAcentral
UACGAACCGUGCGAACGUUGUUCGGAAUCACUGGGCUUAAAGGGCGCGUAGGCGGCAUAGCAAGUCCGGGGUGAAAGCCCCCGGCUCAACCGGGGAAGUGCCUUGGAAACUGCUGUGCUCGAGGGAGGUAGGGGUCGAGGGAACUUCUGGUGGAGCGGUGAAAUGCGCAGAUAUCAGGAGGAACACCGGUGGCGAAGGCGGGUCUCUGGGCCGUAACUGACGCUGAGGAGCGAAAGCGUGGGGAGCAAACAGG